UUAAACCAUAUAUAAAAAAACACAAACUGAUUACACACAAUAUGAAAACAAAGUUAAAACUAUGCAGAACUCACAAAUAUUACAAUCCUUGAACAAGGGACAAAUGUUUUCACACAAAUCCAACUUACAACAAUUUUGAUUACAAACAAAAUUCAGCACUCAGGUUUCACAAUCCUUGAAUUCAUACGACAAUGUGGCAAUACAACAAUCGAAACUAUGGGAUAACGCGGCGUCUGACCCCUUCGAUCAGCUCUCUCAUUUGCCUGAAAAUCGGUAGAUGGACAAUCUCAAACAUUGUGACUAUAAUAGGAACAUUAAAAUGUGAUAUUGCAAAGAUAUUAGGUAGACCUAUGCAAAUCCUUGUGAUAAUCUAAAUAAUUUAGAAUCGAUCAAACUGCUUGAUAAAAAUAAUGCAAACUCUCAACUUUGAGGGAACAGCCUGUGACUUAAAAUACAAUUUUAAUGUACCAAAUUAAAUAAACAAAUCUUGAUUUCUGCAACUCAUUAAAAUCAAGAGCACAUCAUAUGAGUUAGUAACAUCUACACAAAUGCUUAUGCAGAGCGGAAAAGAGGAACCAAAUUUUACGAGCACGAUAUUAAAUACGAGUUUGGAAAGGCAAUGUAAUUAAUAAAUAUUUUUUAUAGUAUUUUGAUUCGAAUAUUUUGUGAAGCAAUAAUUCUUAAAUUAAAAAAUCCAACGCAGAGAGCAGCUAGAGACUCACCUGCGGCAGCUGGGGAAGCAACUCUCGAUUCAGAAGCAACAUAAGCUAGCCUCAACUGCAAAACGACGACGUACCCUUCACUUGUAAAACAUGUUUUCACACUAAUCCUUCAACAAGGGACUAAUGUUUUCACACUAAUCCAACUUUCAAACAAUUUUGGUUACAAACAAAAUCCUUCCAUCGGCUCUUUCAUUUGCCUGAAAAUCGAUAGAUGGACAAUCUCAAACACUGUGACUAUAACAGAAACAUUAAGACGUAAUAUUGCAAAGUAGUAAGACUAACCUGUUAGGCAAGUUGCAGACUCACUUGACCUCAAAAAGAAGAUUCGAUGACAAGUUGAAAGGAAAACUUGUCUUUUAAUUCAUUGGCACAAGCGACAACUAAAGGAUUGCACUCGACUAAAUUAAUGAUCUCUAUCCAAGAGUGGUCAUACGGCCAAUCGAGCUGUUGUAAUUUGUAGCAAUGCUGCAUGCUUAGUCUACGAAGCUCCGGGAAGCUUCCACGUUGAGGUCUCCAUCGCACCAAAUCGGUGUCUUAAAUUCGAAGUUCAAUAAGUUUCAAAAAACUCCCUGGUGUUAUGUCCCACUCUGGGCCUCGAAAUGCAUAGUCGAGUAAUAUGAGAAUCUCGAGAUUUGGCAGCAGCGAACCAAUGUCAUUCAUGUAAUUCCAAGGAUACCCCCCUAACCCAGACAACAUUAACACCUUGAGAUUUGAUGGAAACAUUGAAAGAGGAAUCGUAUUACACUCAUUCUUUAUCUCGGGAUUGUUAACCCAAUAUUCAAGUCUCUCCAAAUUCUGGAGUUGGGAGAUAUAACCCAAGCAACUCGAUGGGUUUCUUUCAUCAUCAUCAUCAUAAGGCUUCAACUCCACUUCAAUAAUUAAUUUCUUUAAAUUAGGAAUUCUUUUGAGAACUUCCCUUGUACAACUCUUUGCACUCACACCAAUAAGUGAGGUGAGUUUGUGCAAGGUAGCAUCAUCAGUAUUAGGGGUUGGUAGGUCGCUUCCCCAAAUCUGAAUCCCCUCUAGUUGUUGCAGGUUCCAAAUUUGCACAGGCAUAUAAGACUGAACUCCACGCUUUUUAAUGUAAAUAUGUGGAUCGGUAAUCAAGAAUUGAAGAUUAAAAAGGUUGGAUAUGGAAUGAGGGAGCUCCCCGUUGUAUUUUAGGGAAAGGUACCGCAGACAAACAAGUUUUAAAAUUUCAAUUGGGAUAUGGUAAAAUCGAACUCUAAGAGCACAUAGUACUCUAAGCAACUUGAAACCCAUGGCAUGUAUUGGGAUUGGAUAUGGGUGAUAAGGACCAUGACAAAGGAGAGAACGGGCAGUGGAUGCACAAUCACUUUUUAUCGAAUCAUACACUUGUUUGAAGCAGAAUAAACUAUUCCAAUGGGCACACAAGCGACGCUGGUCUUUUAUUACAUCAUCACAACCUCGUAAGACAUGUAGAAACUUGAUCCUACUAGCUUCUACCUUACAUAAGUGCUGCCAACAAGAAUGCACGCGAUACGCUCUAUUUGAAAUACCACAAAUUUUCUGUGUCGAGAACAAGAUGAUACGACUUAGAAAGCUUUUCCAAGAAACCUUCAAAACUUUUUUCAACAUUCAGUUCAAGAAAGCCCUCAGCACUCAAAAGAUAAUUAAUAUCGAAUGGUCUCUGAUCAGCAUAAGGAGGGAAAGCUCCCAUAUAGAGGAAAAACAUUUUUAAAUGUUGGGGUAAGUAGUCAUAGCUUGGGAAAAGUACCUCUGAUAUUUGAUUAUAUGCAUCCUCGAAAAGUGAGUUUUGUUGUUUGUAGGCUACCUCAGUCCAAUAUUCUGGGGUCUUGUCGGCUUUUGAUAGGAGCUCUGCAACUGUGACUAUCAUAAGCGGAAGACCUUCACAUUUCUCAGCAAUCUUCUCUCCCAGUUCCUUAAGUUGAGGAGGGAAACCGUCUUCACUAAACACCUUCUCACCAAACACCUUCUCACCAAGUAGUUUCUUACUAUCUUCUUCAUUCAACAAGCUCAAUAUCAUGCCCCCAUGCUGCUUGUAUGUUAUACGUUGUCUACUUGUAAGUAAGAACUGAAUCCCUCCAAGAGUAUUCUUUUCUCGCAAGCAAUUUGUCAAGCGAUUUGUUGCUUGUACCCCCCAAACAUCAUCCAACACGAUGAGGCAUUUCUUAUCCUGCAAUUUUUCUUUCAAUAGUCCAACUAAUUCCUCAUCAUCAUCUUCUCCUUGGGCAAGCAUUCGGUAAGCGUUGGGAUCCACUUGAGCUAGAACGCAACGUAAUAGUUCAUUGGGUUCGCAUUUUCUACCCACUUUGACCCAUGCUCGAAAGUCAAAAUGGCUCCGAAUUGAUGGAUCUUCAAAAAUAUGUUUAGCAAGAGUUGUCUUUCCAACUCCCGCCAUCCCAACGAGCGAACAAUGUUUAUCUUGAAGAAGAUUAUCUCUGGCUUUUUCAAGUUCAUAAGAUAAUCCAACUAUCUUUGAAUUGAUCAUUCCACCAAAAUCAAUUCUUGAGGAAAUAGGCUCGCCCUCUUCCUCUGGCAUAUUCAACUUUUCAAUGAUGUACUCUAUCUCCAUCAUCUUCACCAUCUCGAUGAAGCAAUCAACAUGGUGUUGCAGACUCUGCAGAUCUACAGAGAAUGACAAGUUGUGUCUCUCGCUUUCGAGUUGUUGAAGAAUCUGAGGUAAGAUAUGGGAUUCGAGUAAAUCUUCGAAUUCCCAAACUGCCUCUUUGAUGAGUUCAUCCGCAGCAUUCACCUUCGUCCUGAUCUUGCUGCAGCUGGUGUCAUCCAAUUUGAGCAGAAUUCUCUGCAAGUGAUCCAUCUGGUCGUAGGCAGGUUGUAAGAUUUGUGGAGAGUGGGAAACGAGAGAAAUGCGAGACGAUUGUAGAAUACGCUGAAUCGUAUUCUUGAGAGAAGCCGCCGCACCAUAAGCCGCCAUACCCAAAUUAUCAGCUGAAUCGAUUCAUAUUCAGUCGCCUAACAAAGAAUUGGAGAAGAAGAAGGAAUUAUAAUAAGCAAAUAGAGAUGAAACAAAUGAUAGAUCUCAGCUCUCUGCUUACCUCUUGGAGGAGUUGGCGCAAGUCAACGGUGGCAGCAGCUGGUUUUGAUACAAAUUCAGAAACAUUCAAUACCACAUUCAAGAACUUUAGUAAAUGAUUUGAAAAGAUGUGUAUAAUGUAAUGCUAAAUGCUAAAGUAAUAAAUUAAAGUUUGAAUAUAAAUUUAAUUCAAAAUCAUUAUUUAUGGGAUAUGAGAAAACUAAUGUUGGAAUGGGCAAAUGGGAUCAAAAGCCAACAGCUCUCAAUACCAGAUCUCGAUGCAAAGCAUGUGGGAAUAGUGAUGGCGUUUCAGACGAUGUUGAGUGUAAUCCAAAUACUCAACAGGGAUUUCAUGUAUUUUAAAUAUGAAGCCAUAAAUUAAUUAGUAUAUUGCCAUAAUCUUAAAAUUUUAAGAUAUAUAUAUAUAUAAAAAAAACACAUAAACUGUUUUCACACAAAUCCAACUUACAACAAUUUUGGUUACAAACACAAUUCAGCACUCAGGUUUCACAAUUUAUGUAAUUUGUGAAUUUAAUAAACUCUGAUCACAAUUUAUGAGUUAUAAAAAAAUAUAUAAAAAAGGAAAAUUGCUAACAUGGACUACACAUUAGCGGUGUUUAUCAUAGGUGCUCAUAAAUUGUGUGCAGUAUAUUGAUCCUCGUAUUUAUAAUAUCCUUAUUUUAAAUUUUUCUAGAUAGUUUUAUAAAUUUAAAAUAACAAGGAAAUAGUUAAGAGUUAUCAUAAUUAAAACAAUAAAAACUAAAAUUAGCAUAGUCGAAAUGAUAAUUAUUAAAAAAAUAUAGGAAACAGAAUAUUAAUCAAUUUUCCUUUUUUUCUAUAUUUUUUUAUAGCCUUCUGAAAACAUAAGAUUAAGUUGACAUUUGAUCUAAUGUUUAUGUGACGAUGUGUCCUUAAAUGUUUUAAAUUGUCAAUUAGUUCUAGAUCAUGACAUUGUUUAAUAUAUUUUGUGAUUACACAAUCAGACUAAUUAAAAGAAUCAUUAAAAAAAAUUCUCAUACCUACUCCAUUGACAUAAUUUUUUUUUGAAGAGACUCCAUUGACAUAAUUAGUAGGUCUAUUUCAUGCUAUAUAUGAAGGAGUCCACGUGUAAUUUAUUAAUGUUGGAUUUAUCAUAUUUUAAUGUGGUCAUGCUUUUUGUGAUUCAUCAUACAAGUACUCCAUUGGCAAAUUAUUCGUAGUGUUUGCAACACAGUUUUUAACUCAGGGUUUUUUAUUUUUUUAUUGAAGGCUCGAAAGAUCAUGAUUAGUUAUGUGGCAAUUAAACUAAUUAAAGAAAUAAAGAACUACUUAAUCUAAUUAUGAAAAAAGAACUUAUUAAAAAUAAUUAAAAUCCAAAAUUAAGGGGUCGAAAUUUAUGAAUUAUUUAGCCUUCUCUUAUUUCUAAUCAUUUAAAUCCAAAUUGAAAUUGAUAGUAAUUUUAUUUCUUACUCGAAAGUGCCAUGGAUUUUGAAUGUCUUCUAAAGAAAUCUAUAUAUAUAUAAAAGCUCAUCCAACUUCACAAUUUUUUUCCCGNAAAAUAUCACUUUUUCAUAUAACAUACGUGUCAAGUUGUUAUUUUAUUUUUGUUUAUAGAAGAUUAAUAAUAGUUCUCUAUGGUGGAAUAUCUAAAGUGCCAUGGGUUUUGAAUGUCUUCUACAGAAAUUGAGUAGAAUUUGAUGCCUUUUAAUAGUGAGGCAUAAUUUAAAAGAUAAAUGAUGGAGUUGGGCCUUAACUUUUUGUAUUGGGCCGAAAUUUUGUUUAUUAUAUGGAGAAGCCCAAUUGAUAGGCAAUGCCGUAAUAGGUUAGCUGAUAAAAAUGCUUUAGAAAUUUUAUGAAUGAUUAAUUAAUCUAAUUCUUUUCUUUUCUUCUUUGACAAUGAGAGCUCUUAAUCAGAUUCACUUCAUAGCUAAAUCAACAACAUUUUUAACCUCACAACUCUUGCAGUUAUUUAUUUACAUUGGAAAAGAACAAACUUAAUUAGCACAAUAAUUUUGUUCAUACAAACUCCCACCAAAUCAUGGCUUUUCUGUAGUCAUCAGCAAAACAACUUUUAAAUUUCAAGAAAUGUAAAAUAAACCUCAAAGAAAUAAAAUAACAAAAGAAGACAACAACAACAUGGGUUCUCAAAAUAAAAUGACAAUAAGACUACUGGAAAAAGCUCAUCCAAGUACUCAACAGGGAUUUCAUGAAUUUUAAAUAUGAAGCCCAGAAAUUAAUUAAUAUAUUGCCAUAAUCUUGAAAUUUUAAACCAUAUAUAAAAAAAAAACACAAACUGAUUACACACAAUAUGAAACAAAGUUAAAACUAAUGCAGAAGUCACAAAUAUUACAAUCCUUGAACAAGGGACAAAUAGUUUUCACACAAAUCCAACUUACAACAAUUUUGAUUACAAACAAAAUUCAGCACUCAGGUUUCACAAUCCUUGAAUUCAUACGACAAUGUGGCAAUACAACAAUCGAAAUUAUGGGAUAACGCGACGUCUGACCCCUUCGAUCAGCUCUCUCAUUUGCCUGAAAAUCGGUAGAUGGAAUCUCAAACAUUGUGACUAUAAUAGGAACAUUAAAAUGUGAUAUUGCAAAGAUAUUAGGUAGACCUAUGCAAAUCCUUGUGAUAAUCUAAAUAAUUUAGAAUCGAUCAAACUGCUUGAUAAAAAUAAUGCAAACUCUCAACUUUGAGGGAACAGCCUGUGACUUAAA
This 6437-nucleotide long non-coding RNA is filed under the name Salvia miltiorrhiza (redroot sage). Its description in RNAcentral is "long non-coding RNA (SMIL_LNC004915)". The record is from RNAcentral. Lineage: Eukaryota; Viridiplantae; Streptophyta; Magnoliopsida; Lamiales; Lamiaceae.